This 3849-nucleotide long non-coding RNA is filed under the name Homo sapiens (human). RNAcentral's name for it is "PREDICTED lncRNA (TCONS_00188972)". The stretch from base 561 to 836 matches the Rfam family "SOX2 overlapping transcript exon 3". Lineage: Eukaryota; Metazoa; Chordata; Mammalia; Primates; Hominidae. The record is from RNAcentral.
GUCGUAAAAGGGGACGCGGAGGAGAAGGAAAGUCGCUCAAGCAGUGGACAGAGCGGAGAAAGCGACUUCGGCCGCAGAGAGAAGAAGCUGCCCAAGAAUGGAAAGGAAGAAAUAUAUCACAUCAUCUGUCUGUCCACAGGCUUUCCUUGGGGCUUAUGAAGUGAAUGAAGGAGGGAAGAAAGGAGAGACAGAGAAAAUAUGGAUUUCCUCAUGGUUGUGAUUCCUCUUCACUCUUUUGAAUUUGGAAGGAUGGCAUACACAUCUGAAAAAUACCACUACUUCCUUCAUUGGACUGCAAGGUAUUUCUGUUUGGAAAAGUAAUGGAGUCCAGUCAACUUCAUUGAUCGCCAAGGACUGUCAAAAUUAUAAAACUUGCUGUGGAGCUCUGACAUGCCAGAAGCCGCUAGAAAAAGAAGUUUGACAUUCAGAAACUUAUCAAGAGGUUCUACUCUUUGGAUAGAGACCAAAAUCAUACUUUGAAAAAGCCUGACAGGUUUCUUCGGAAAAGUGGCCAUCCAUGGAAUGAAUGAAAUGUUCUCUUUCUAUUCCAGGGAUUGCAGUGGCAAAGCUAGGCUAGGUCUUGGAGGCUGGUGUAAGGCGAUGUGGGUGAAGGCAGGAGGCUGAUGGAAAGACUGGGGGGAAGAAAAGCCGAAAUGGAUUCACGGUGCCUUGGAUGAAGGACGAGAGGGGAACUGCAAGCUCCUUCAACUGGUUCUGUCCGGUGAGAAGUGAUCAAGCUUGGGCUGACAAGAGGCUCAGGGAGCCCUCACGUUCUUUCGCUUUUUUACCUGCCAAUCAAACUGCUACAAGACAACACCCUGAUCUGGCAUGGACAUCGCGGGUCCAAGCCUGUAGCCCCAAAUCGGAUAAUCUCUGCAGCUGAUAACAAGCAAAAGAGAAGCCAGGCAACAGCCAUAUUAAAGAAGAAAACAAUCAACUCUGAGAUCCAACUUAGAAAUAAUGUUUCAUUCAAGAUAAGGCUCGUGGCUUAGGAGAUUGUGACCUGGCUUGCAUCAUUCUAAGACUUCUAUCGUCUGUUUUCAAAACCCAAGGAGGACCUCCUUUUCUGUGUGAUAGUUCCUCAUGCUUUGCCAGCCACUGGGUCUUUAAGGAAGCUUGCCAAGAGUUCCCGGCUGGGAAGGACAGUUCGAGUUCAUCAUAGACAAUGAGCUGGCACCACAGUUUAAGUGACUCACCAACCUGGUUGCCCACUUCAAAAUGUCAAGAACCACACUAUCUAAUUGAAAGAACUGUGUUUUAGCAAAGUGUAAUUGGAUCGCCUGGCAAGAUCAUCUCAAACUAUGUCUCUGACCUUGCCUUUCAGUGGCUAUUUUGAGCACAAGAGGAGAAAGGAAAUGAUUCCUGAAUUAUAUCUUGUUUUUAAAAAUUAAGAUUAAUUAAUACUUGGUUUUAUGUUCAUUCCAUUGUAGGAACUUAGUGAUUAUUACAAAACAGUCAAAAUAGGUCAUAGCAAAAUGAACGUUUAAGAUUAGGUUAAAACAUUCCUCUGAAAUUUUAGUAUUCACUUUUGAAGUGUCAAUUACUAUAUUUCUGUAAUUUCUCAUUUUUUUCUUGGCUUAGAGUCAAGAUGAAAAAUGAUAUUUGAAUCAAAGACAUUGUUUUGUUAUAUAGCCACUCCUUUCUAAAAUGCAAAUCCACCCUCCCCUCACCAAUGCUUUAUUCUUUGUGCGCGCACACACACACACACACACACACACACACACACACACACACAGACAUACACAGAACCAGCACCCAAAUGGUAGAGGAGGUCCUUCCAAGACUUCUAGGACCUGGAUCAUGUAAGCAGUAGAUGAGAAAAUGAAGUAAGAGAUAUAGAGUAAUAACAAUAAAAGUCAAUGAUUUCAUUUUACAAAAAAGUCAUUGUGUAGUACUCAGAUAUUUUUAAGAGCAAGUAUUAUUAUGACUAAAGUAUAUUAUACUUCUAAAUUAUUAUGAUUCUCAUCUAAUUUCAAGCCACACAUAGGCGCCAUUUGAAAGCAUUUUGUGUUACAACCUAUCAACAAAAAUCAACUAAUAGUUUUAUAACGUGCAUAGGUUUACCCCAUGGGGAAUUAAAAUUUUUAUCUGCAAGUAUUUCUGUUGUUGUGAGACUUUAGGACAAGACAACAUUUGGUGUUAACAUAGAAGAAUAUUCUAUGGCUUUUUUAGCUUUAAAGUUCAUUACUCUAAAAUAAAGUACACGUGGUAUUUUUUUCUUCCUAGUGUUCUCUUAUUAUAUGUAGAGUAUUUUCGGUUGUUGUUUUUAACGUAUACAUUAUUUUUAUUAAGUCAUUUCAUAAAAGAUAAGAUAUAUACUAAUAGACCCUUGGUUUUCUCCUAAUUUAAUUAUUUCAAGUCAAGCAAAAUUGGGCAAUUUUCUUUCAGGAAAAAAAAAAUAUUGAGCAUGAUUUUGAGGUAAAACUGAUUAUUUACAGCAUCUUUUCUCUAAUAGGCUAACAUUUAUGAUGGAUCUUAUUUCAAAGUUGAUUAUUCUCAAAGAAAAGUGGAGAUAUUAGAAUUUCCGAGUAAAUUGCAUUGUUUUAAAAAGUACUUUAAUGCAUUGUUCACAUUGUUGCCAGCUAUUGACCAAAAAAGAGAAGAAGAAAAAAGAAAUAAAAAAAGCAGUAUCUGCUCCAAACGUCAAGUUUUGCAGUUUGAAAGACUUGUACAUUAUAAUUGUUUUUUUCUUUUUUGGAAAGCAGUAGUAAUUAAUACCAAAGGCAUAGACAAUUUAGGGCCAUAACCUCCCUUCCCCCCUCUCCACCUUUUUUUUUUUUUUUUUUUUUUUUUAACUUUAACCAUGAUAGGCAUCUCUGCAAGGUAGGUUUUAACAUAUUUUUUUCCUAAUUUUUUUCCCUCCAUUCAGUAAGAAGGAUAAGCUUUUAGAGUACCCAGUCACCGUGGUAACUGCCAAAAAAAUUCUCCUGAAGUUUGAAGAGGUCAGCUAGCAGGGUCAACAACCCUGGCCUCUCUCUGAGCUCGGUCUAGCAUGCCCCAGCCUGCGGUUGGAGUGUCAGGCCAGAUCUGACCCUGGGAGGUGGACCAUUCUGGCUCUGAUAUAAAUUUUUCGAGUCAGUUCAUGGCCUGGACUCUCCAGGUGGCCUCCAAAAUCGAUUUUGACCCCCUGACCCUGUCUCACGGAGGCAUAGCAUCCACCCUAAGUAAGGAUUUAGCCAGGAAUGACAGCUUUCCACUGAGUGUUAUUGGGGACAGUAUAAACAGUUUGGAAAGCAAGUAAGGAGGUGUGAGGGCUAGCAAUCAUUAAAAGCACAUUAAAAAACAAUUUUUAAAAAUCUUUAUUAGAGAAAGUUGUAAAUGCAUAUCUGUUACAGAAUUCCUGUGAUUUGUAGAGUUUUCUAGUCAGUUUUGAAUAUAAAUAGGUCACAUAUCUUUAUCUUUUUGCAUACUUUGUUACAAAUAUGCAAAUAAGAUAGGCAUACUUGCUACAAAAUAGGUACAGCAGGAAUGUAAUAUGUUCAGAAAAGGCAAACUGGUUAUUAAAACACAUUAACAGGUAAGGAGUUUCUAAUAUUUUAAAUACUAAAAUUUUACAUGUGUAUUUUGAAGUUUUUAAAAUGGAAAAAUAAAGAACCUUUAAAAAACCCAACAGUGUGGAAUAAAGAUAAACUUGUUGCACUCAAGGUACAUUUCUACUUUGUAAAGCAAGAAGCCAAUACACUCAGUUGGAUAAAAAUGAGAGAAAAAUUGUAAAUAUAGAGAGUUACAGCUUAUAGAGCUGAAGAGGAAUAAAACAAAAAAAAGUGUCUCUGAAUAACUUUAUGUAUUUUCAACAGUUUAAGAUAUCAGAAACUUGGAAAAUAAAUAUGAUAUAUAUAUAAAUCAUCA